This 441-nucleotide ribosomal RNA is filed under the name uncultured bacterium. RNAcentral's name for it is "partial 16S ribosomal RNA". It matches the Rfam family "Bacterial small subunit ribosomal RNA", at positions 338 to 795 of the family's 1533-position model. The record is from RNAcentral.
CCUACGGGAGGCAGCAGUGGGGAAUAUUGCACAAUGGGGGGAACCCUGAUGCAGCGACGCCGCGUGGGUGAAGGAGUAUUUCGGUAUGUAAAGCCCUAUCAGCAGGGAAGAACAAUGACGGUACCUGACUAAGCAGCACCGGCUAAAUACGUGCCAGCAGCCGCGGUAAUACGUAUGGGGCAAGCGUUAUCCGGAUUUACUGGUUGUAAAGGGAGCGCAGGCGGCGCGUUAAGCCUGGUGUGAAAGUCCGCGGCCCAACCGCGGGACUGCCUUGGGAACUGGCUCGCUCGAGUGCCGGAGGGGUAGGCGGAAUUCCUAGUGUAGCGGUGAAAUGCGUAGAUAUUAGGAGGAACACCAGUGGCGAAGGCGGCCUACUGGACGGUGACUGACGCUGAGGCUCGAAAGCGUGGGGAGCAAACAGGAUUAGAUACCCCAGUAGUC